Molecule: unclassified non-coding RNA, 284 nt
Filed under: Hevea brasiliensis (rubber tree)
Lineage: Eukaryota; Viridiplantae; Streptophyta; Magnoliopsida; Malpighiales; Euphorbiaceae
Source: RNAcentral
AUUUCUACAAUAUCAUCCAGCUGUUUAGGUCUGUUGAAAAGUUUGGGGUUAUUCAGCAACCAUAGUUGGACAGCUUUGAGACUGAUAGAAGCAUCAAUAACAGGGCGCUUAUAAGAACAAAUGUGCUUCAAUGCAACCAGAUUAACAUCCACAGGUUGGCUUCUCAGUAAAUCAAAGAAACUGUCAGACAGUUGAUGUUGAUUGAAUAUUCCUUUAUGCAUGACAGCAUUCACCAGGAACAUUACGUCAAAAGCAAUCCCUUCCUUGUGAUGAAUACAAAAGAA